RNAcentral lists this long non-coding RNA (302 nucleotides) under Nicotiana benthamiana. RNAcentral describes it as "long non-coding RNA (NBEN_LNC025273)". The record is from RNAcentral. Lineage: Eukaryota; Viridiplantae; Streptophyta; Magnoliopsida; Solanales; Solanaceae.
CCGCCCUAAAAUCCCUUCGUCUGCUAAAUCCUCUCUAACCUCUCACUAAAACCCUAGCCCUACUCUGUUGGUUUCCACCUUGUUCCACCGGAGUCAAUGGCGUCCCAAGCCCUCGGUACCCUAUACUCAUCCCCAUGUACCCCAUACCCAUGUUACUUGAACGUUCAAGGUUUGAUCUUGAAGGUCUUCGCUCAGUUCUCCGCCGAUACGAGUGUUAAGGCCAUCUCUGGCUCAACUCCGGAAUAUCCUAGUCCUAUUUGUUCAUCUCUGGCUCAUUCGACUCGGAGCAAACCCUUUUUCCA